RNAcentral lists this transfer RNA (69 nucleotides) under Metapenaeus ensis. Its description in RNAcentral is "tRNA-Lys". The record is from RNAcentral. Lineage: Eukaryota; Metazoa; Arthropoda; Malacostraca; Decapoda; Penaeidae.
CACCGGGUGACUGAAAGUAAGUGUAAGUCUUUUAAACUUAUCAUGGUAACUAACGACUACCCCCUGUGA